GGGCUCGAGCAACAACGAACAAGUCCAAGUAGAUUAGGAUAAGUUAUAUCCAAAAGGACCUAUGGAUCUCAAAUUCUUAGAUGCUAACUUCACCAAAGAAGAAGUUAGCUUUGCUGUGUUUAGCUUGGCCAGGGACAACGCUCCUAAGCUAGAAGAUUUUUGGCUUUGUUCUACCAAUGCUAUUGGGAGACAAGCAAAUC
RNAcentral lists this long non-coding RNA (200 nucleotides) under Elaeis guineensis (African oil palm). Its description in RNAcentral is "long non-coding RNA (EGUI_LNC051580)". The record is from RNAcentral. Lineage: Eukaryota; Viridiplantae; Streptophyta; Magnoliopsida; Arecales; Arecaceae.